This 242-nucleotide ribosomal RNA is filed under the name Ditylum brightwellii. RNAcentral's name for it is "partial Eukaryotic large subunit ribosomal RNA". It matches the Rfam family "Eukaryotic large subunit ribosomal RNA", at positions 3067 to 3321 of the family's 3401-position model. Lineage: Eukaryota; Bacillariophyta; Thalassiosirophyceae; Lithodesmiales; Lithodesmiaceae. The record is from RNAcentral.
ACGCGGUUGGCUGAACAGCCAAUGCUGCAACUCUAACAUCUGUCGGAUUAUGACUGGACGCCUCUAAGUCAGAAUCCAUGCUGGAAAGCAACGUCUAAUCAAUAAUAAACGAAAAACAUUAAGUCUUCGGACUGAAGUUCACACCAUGGGCGAAACGGAUUACCGAAACAGGAAAAUCUAUACCGCUCGAAUCGUAAUUUCGAAUUAUUUAUUGACACAAAUCUUUUGUAGACGACUUAAUA